This 454-nucleotide ribosomal RNA is filed under the name uncultured bacterium. RNAcentral's name for it is "partial 16S ribosomal RNA". It matches the Rfam family "Bacterial small subunit ribosomal RNA", at positions 28 to 507 of the family's 1533-position model. The record is from RNAcentral.
GAUGAACGCUGACAGAAUGCUUAACACAUGCCAGUCAACUUGAACUUCGGUUUGGGUGGCGGACGGGUGAGUAACGCGUAAAGAACUUGCCUCACAGAUAGGGACAACAUUUGGAAACGAAUGCUAAUACCUGAUAUUAUGAUUAUAUGGCAUCGUAUAAUUAUGAAAGCUAUAUGCGCUGUGAGAGAGCUUUGCGUCCCAUUAGCUAGUUGGAGAGGUAACGGCUCACCAAGGCGAUGAUGGGUAGCCGGCCUGAGAGGGUGAUCGGCCACAAGGGGAGUAAAAACGGCCCCUAACCCUUCGGGGAGCAAGAGGGGGGGAAUUUUGAAAAAGGGACAAAGGUUUUGAUCCAGAAUUUCGGUGUGAAGAAAAAAUUUUUUGGGAAGAAAAAGUGUUUUAAUUGGAAAAAAAAAAAAGGAGGGAACAAAAAAAAGAAGGGAGGACAAAAUACGUC